ACACCGGCACACUUUAAUGGUUUCCAUCACAAACGAUGGUUAAAGCAUAAUUGGGUGUAAAUCCCAAACGGUCCCGCCACUGUGAGACGCAAGUCGAGUCAGGAUGCUGAUCAUUAAAACUGCAAUACA
Molecule: non-coding RNA, 129 nt
Filed under: Eubacterium limosum
Lineage: Bacteria; Bacillati; Bacillota; Clostridia; Eubacteriales; Eubacteriaceae
Source: RNAcentral